AGGCGACAUGGCAGGUGAAGUUUAGCCCUGUACUUGCUGUGUUGAUGGCGCUGGUGCUGGGAUUCGCGCUUCUGGCCUUCGUCGUCGUCGUCGCAGUAAGACUGUGGACGAGGCACAGUUUCCACAAGGACCCUCAAGGGUCAAGCUGUCCCAGCCGAAUGAACGUUGCUGCUGUCUGGUUGGCUGGAAGCAAGCUGCCCAGUCCGGUUGAAAGAUCCUGGAAUCCGGUGGUGCCUGACGUGGUGGACCGAGUCCAAGUUUCCCCACGAAGUGAUUCCACAGAAAUGGAUACAUUUGCAUCUUCCAAGGGCCUUUGCUUGGCCACACUGGACCAGGAUCACACUGUUGUGAAUACAUUGAUGCAGCGGUGAUAAGAAAUCUUCACAGGGCUCUUCUGCUGUCGCAGGGUCCACGAGCAAGGAAUUCAAGACGAAGGCAUCAGGCGCUCUGUGAAGACCUCGUUACUAGUGCGUGCCAGAGACCGCCCGUUCCAGUAUUUCCGAGGAAAUCGGCCUAAAAACAACGUACUGACGCCGAGGUUUGAACAGCUCAGCUGGAAUCGCUGAAGGACAUCACUCCGGCCCCGACUGAACAAGCUUGGACUUUGGAAGGACACAAGCUUGCCUGAGCGGUUUUGAGCCUUGUCUGCCCAUCAAAUGUGUUCUAAAGUUCCGAGUGAACAUAUUUCACAAACGCUCAAGACUAAACUGUCCCACUCCGUCGGUGCGUUCUCGUUAAUUUUGUUCUUUCUGCAACAUAAAAAAAAUAAUUAAUCGUGAAAGUUACUUGAAAUAAGACUUUUUUAUUGGAGUUUGUGAAGUAUGAUGUUACCUAAACAGAGAAAGACAUUUCCGUUGGGGUUCGUGCAUUUUAAGUUACUAUAAUGUUUGUUGCGUAAUUCUAACUCGUCUUUGCGUCGUGAUAAUUUUUUUUUCUGGCAUUAUGAGGGAUGUAGUAUUCAUCUGGUGGUUAAUAAACUAC
This is a long non-coding RNA of Ixodes scapularis (black-legged tick), 981 nucleotides long. RefSeq lists it as uncharacterized. Lineage: Eukaryota; Metazoa; Arthropoda; Arachnida; Ixodida; Ixodidae. The record is from RefSeq and is a predicted model, not a curated record. The transcript is spliced from 5 exons.